This is a long non-coding RNA of Microtus ochrogaster (prairie vole), 3105 nucleotides long. RefSeq lists it as uncharacterized. Lineage: Eukaryota; Metazoa; Chordata; Mammalia; Rodentia; Cricetidae. The transcript is spliced from 3 exons. The record is from RefSeq and is a predicted model, not a curated record.
GGAAUCCACACUGAAGCAUGGUUUAUUGCUGGUGUCUUUCUGCUGUUGACAAUCCCUGUGUCCCUCUGGGGGACUGUGCAGCACUUAGUGCAUUACACGCAACCAGAACUUAAGAAACCUAUUAUAAGAAUUCUUUGGAUGGUCCCAAUAUACAGUUUGGAUAGCUGGGGCGAUCUGCUCUCGGUGUUGCGCGCCAGUCCCUGCAGCCUGCUUCUGCUGCCACGCUAGUCCCCGCCGCCUGCGGCUGCCGGUCCCCACCGGCUGCGGAGGCCGUCCUCCAUCCGCCCUCCGUCCGCCUGCGCCCUGCCUGCAUUCUUGUUUACCAUGGACUCCUCCAAUGCCCUACACGGACCAUUCUCCCUGCCCUCUUCACCCUCCUAGAACAUUUGCUCUGACCUGUUGUUUGCUGCGGUCUCAGAACUGACAGCAGGGCCUUCUCUGGUUCUGUGCUCCCUGUGCUGCGGGCCUGACACAAAGCAGGCGCUCAGACGCUUGACUGGGGGCACGGAGCUGUUAGCCCCUUAUCCAGAUAAGCCGUUCUAUUCACUAUUGUGGACACAGUCAGAACCGGAUCACUUUCAGUCCUUUUGAGAAAGUACAAGAGGCUCCCAUCGCCAGCUGCCCCAUAACACAUGUUCUUGGAGACAUUGCAGAUCUUCCCCAGAAGGCUUUCUGAAGCAGACAUUGAAUGAAGCCAUGUUUAUAAAGUGCUUGAUCGCGAUGCCUGGUGCUUAGAAACUCCUCACUAAUAGCAGUCGAAGCGGCAACAUGUUGGAAAUACAAGCACGAACUUAGCCUUGCAAGACUAUUUAACACACCCCCCUUCAGCCUCCACUCUGCCUCAGCAAGUCUUCAUGCUGCUUGGUAAAAUUCAGAUUCCCUAAGCAUCUUGUCCUGCGUGCAGCAACACCAUCUUGUGGUUACAUUAGGUUAUGACAAAAUACAUGAUCACUCCCAAGUAGUCGGCCCCCAUCAGACUGUAUGUGUGGAGGGAGCAGGUGAUGUUGGAAGCAAACCUGGCCUUGGGGGCUAUGUGACACAUCCUAAAUGACACGCAGGAGGUCUUAAGCUUCCCCUGUGUGACUUAAAGACAGAUGGUGGUUCUGGCCGUUUCUGCUGCCACUGUCCUCUUUCCUAAUUGGCUCUGCCCUAGUUCUGACUCCAGCUUGAGUUUUCUGGCGCCUCUAAAGCCGCAUUUGAAAUGAGUUAGCGCCAUCUACUGGGAGAACACAGGAAGACAGGUUGGGGAGUCCCAGCCCAGGUCUGAAGAAUGAAUCUUGUAAAGAGGGAAGGUCACGUGUGUUUCUUAUAUUUGGAUAAUACCUUAAAAAGUACUUUGUAAUGUUUGCUUUGACUAUUCUAGUUGUGACCUCCCGCAUUACUGAGUAUAAACUCAGGUUCACUUGUGCAACAAGUUGGCCGACUUCAUCACUCUCUGCUAAUUCACUUUAAAAAUGGUGUUUUAAAACUUCUGUUUCCAGGAACCUUUUUACUAACCAAGAAGCUAUCUUUUUCCUUUUUUUUUUAAACUGUGGACUACCUCCAUUAAUGAGUUGCAAAAGGCAAUUUUGUAAUCAAAUUCAUUUAAAAUAUUAUAUCGUAAAACAAAUAAAAUGAUUUGUUUUGAUAAUGUUUCAUUAACACUUUUUUAUUUCAAGUUGCAGCAUUAGUUGUUAAGUUAGAGAAUUAAUAGAAUAGGCAAUUUCCAGCUUACUAUUUAAAGAUACCUGGUUUUAGAAAAAAAUUAUUUUAAAAAUAAAAUAGCUGUGAAAUGGUUUUGGCCAAAAAUUUAGCAUUUUAAAGAGAUCCUCAAACAAUAACUCACUGCUUUUUGACUGCCUCAACCUCUGGGAACAGUCUCAAGAAUAUCUUUGUAAUAAGGCUUUAUGCACCUUAUUUUUCAAGACCCUUCUAGAAUUUGCCCUUUUGUUGCUUUGCUUUUUCAGACACAGAAAUAUACCUCAUCACCUCACUUCUUAGAACUGAUUAGAAAUAGUAAAUUAGAAAGCAAGGAGGCCACAAAAAGUGUCAAAGACAGACUGCAGGAAACCACAGAAAAUGGCUGAUUGCAAGAGGGCCAGUAUAGUAUAGAGUAUGAUUUGUAGAAAACAGGAAAGGGAGUCAGAGGACAGGAUGGAAAGCUUUUUAAUGAAGUAAUAAACAGACAUAUAUUUUGAGGCUCACUAAUAAUAAUUUAUAUUCCUAAUGAUUCUUAGCAAUUGAGAAAAAAGUAAUUUCCUUUCUUGAAAAAUGCUGACAUAUUAAUAGCAUUUUAGUAAAACAAAACAACAACAAAAGACCAAACACUUUAUCUUGGUGCCUCAGAGGCACACAGCCACAUUAAAGGGUUGUGUAGCUUCUUUGGUGCUUUCUUUUGAGGGAUUUUGUUUAUGUGGGGCUAAGAUUGAGGUGUCCACAGGUGUGUUAAGUGGCAGCUAUAGAUUGAUUCCGUUUCUGUUGAAGUAGACAGUGCCCUCAAGUGGAGGUAAAGACACAUUACAAAAGGAAGCAGAAAGAGUACCCACUCAAGCUGCCAUGGCCUUCAUCCAUCUUCACCAAAUAUCGCACAGAUGCUUUAAGUGAUGGUAGAUUGGAGGAGUGCUGACUUUAGCCUGUCUCGGGUGAUUUGUGUCUCUCAUUUGGGCUUACAGAGGGACAGACUUGUAAAAUGUUACCGUGAUGGGACACUCCAUCACCUAAAAGUGUUUUCUAAGAGAACUGUUACUGUGUGUUGAAUUGCCAGGUUGCUUAAUUAUUGAGUCAAAUAAUACAGUUUGAUGCUUUAGUUUUAAGUUUAUUUGAUUUGAAUUACAAGAAUAAAAUGCCUACAUAGUAUAAUGUUAUUAAUUUCUGCCUAUAAGCACAGGGCUGGAGAAGGAUAUCUCUGUCUCAAGAAGACAGGCUGACGGACAGACAGGCGGACGGACAGGCAGGCAGGCAGAGAAGCAAAAGGAAGAUGGUAUUGGUGGAAACAUGCAGGGCUGAGGAGCCCAGGCUGAGGCCCAGAGUUGGGGGUUGGAAGUUCAUCGCUCCUCUUUUCUUUGUUCAGUCUCCCCAACCCAGGGUUAGGAAGCUAUGGGGUGGGAUUGCCUAGACAGUGGGAGG